GGAGUUGUGGCUCAAUGGUAGAGCACUUGCCUGGCAUGUGUGAGGCCCUGGGUUCGAUCCUCAGUACCA
Molecule: transfer RNA, 69 nt
Filed under: Ictidomys tridecemlineatus (thirteen-lined ground squirrel)
Lineage: Eukaryota; Metazoa; Chordata; Mammalia; Rodentia; Sciuridae
Description: Spermophilus tridecemlineatus (thirteen-lined ground squirrel) tRNA
Rfam family: tRNA
About the family: Transfer RNA (tRNA) molecules are approximately 80 nucleotides in length. Their secondary structure includes four short double-helical elements and three loops (D, anti-codon, and T loops).
Source: Rfam by way of RNAcentral